RNAcentral lists this ribosomal RNA (509 nucleotides) under uncultured bacterium. RNAcentral's name for it is "bacterial SSU rRNA". It matches the Rfam family "Bacterial small subunit ribosomal RNA", at positions 57 to 577 of the family's 1533-position model. The record is from RNAcentral.
GCAAGUCGAACGGUGAACACGGAGCUUGCUCUGUGGGAUCAGUGGCGAACGGGUGAGUAACACGUGAGCAACCUGCCCCUGACUCUGGGAUAAGCGCUGGAAACGGCGUCUAAUACUGGAUAUGUGACGUGAUCGCAUGGUCUGCGUCUGGAAAGAAUUUCGGUUGGGGAUGGGCUCGCGGCCUAUCAGCUUGUUGGUGAGGUAAUGGCUCACCAAGGCGUCGACGGGUAGCCGGCCUGAGAGGGUGACCGGCCACACUGGGACUGAGACACGGCCCAGACUCCUACGGGAGGCAGCAGUGGGGAAUAUUGCACAAUGGGCGCAAGCCUGAUGCAGCAACGCCGCGUGAGGGACGACGGCCUUCGGGUUGUAAACCUCUUUUAGCAGGGAAGAAGCGAAAGUGACGGUACCUGCAGAAAAAGCGCCGGCUAACUACGUGCCAGCAGCCGCGGUAAUACGUAGGGCGCAAGCGUUAUCCGGAAUUAUUGGGCGUAAAGAGCUCGUAGGCG